GAACCGUCCAAACGUUAUUCGGAAUCAUUGGGCUUAAAGGGUGCGUAGGCGGCGUGGUCAGUUGGGUGUGAAAUCCCUCGGCUCAACCGAGGAACUGCGCCCAAUACUGCCACACUCGAGGGAGACAGAGGUAAGCGGAACUGAUGGUGGAGCGGUGAAAUGCGUUGAUAUCAUCAGGAACACCAGUGGCGAAGGCGGCUUACUGGGUCUCUUCUGACGCUGAGGCACGAAAGCUAGGGGGGAGCGAACGGGAUUAGAUACCCCGGUAGUCCUAGCUGUAAACGAUGAGCACUUGAUCGGAGACUCCCUCCAUAGGUUUCCGGUCGUAGCGAAAGUGUUAAGUGCUCCGCCUGGGAGUAUGGUCGCAAGGCUG
This 373-nucleotide ribosomal RNA is filed under the name uncultured organism. Its description in RNAcentral is "partial 16S ribosomal RNA". It matches the Rfam family "Bacterial small subunit ribosomal RNA", at positions 527 to 896 of the family's 1533-position model. The record is from RNAcentral.